RNAcentral lists this ribosomal RNA (467 nucleotides) under uncultured bacterium. Its description in RNAcentral is "partial 16S ribosomal RNA". It matches the Rfam family "Bacterial small subunit ribosomal RNA", at positions 28 to 507 of the family's 1533-position model. The record is from RNAcentral.
GACGAACGCUGGCGGCGUGCUUAACACAUGCAAGUCGAACGGAAAGGCCCUGCUUUUGUGGGGUGCUCGAGUGGCGAACGGGUGAGUAACACGUGAGUAACCUGCCCUUGACUUUGGGAUAACUUCAGGAAACUGGGGCUAAUACCGGAUAGGAGCUCCUGCUGCAUGGUGGGGGUUGGAAAGUUUCGUCGGUUGGGGUUGGACUCGCGGCUAAUCAGCUUGUUGGUGGGGUAGUGGCUUACCAAGGCUUGGACGGGUAGCCGGCCUGAGAGGGUGACAGGCCCCAUAGGGCUAGGGGAGGGGCCAGUGCGGAAUAUGGGGCAAGGGGUGGGAAUUUGGUCCAACCGGACCGAGGCGGGAGAGACGACCUCCGGGUUGGGAAGGCCGUCUUUCGGGUAAGAAACGCCUUUGGCUAGUACCGAGCUGUUCUGACGGUAAUCGGAGAAGAAGCACCGGCUAACUUCGUG